GCUUUCCCUAGUGGUCAGCGUGUGAUUGGAUUCUGGGCGCUGCAUUUCUAAUGCUCGCCCGUAAUUGAUUAGCAAAUCGAAUCCGACUCGGAUUGACUCGGCGUAAUAGACUAUUCGCUGAGGACGAGAUGGACUGAUGGCUUCUAAUUUAAAGUCAACCUUUAGACCUCAGAUCAGGCAGGAUUACCCGCUGAACUUAA
This 200-nucleotide unclassified non-coding RNA is filed under the name soil metagenome. Its description in RNAcentral is "partial contains internal transcribed spacer 2 and large subunit ribosomal RNA". The record is from RNAcentral.